This 77-nucleotide transfer RNA is filed under the name Nitrospinota bacterium. RNAcentral's name for it is "tRNA-Ile". It matches the Rfam family "tRNA". Rfam says of the family: Transfer RNA (tRNA) molecules are approximately 80 nucleotides in length. Lineage: Bacteria; Pseudomonadati; Nitrospinota. The record is from RNAcentral.
GGGCCCAUAGCUCAAUUGGUUAGAGCUUCCGGCUCAUAACCGGGCGGUUCUAGGUUCGAUUCCUAGUGGGCCCACCA